Molecule: long non-coding RNA, 964 nt
Filed under: Sus scrofa (pig)
Lineage: Eukaryota; Metazoa; Chordata; Mammalia; Artiodactyla; Suidae
Description: lncRNA (ENSSSCG00015054073.1)
Source: RNAcentral
CCACUGAGCAUGGGCAGGGACCGAACCCGCAACCUCAUGGUUCCUAGUCGGAUUCGUUAACCACUGCGCCACGACGGGAACUCCAAACCUGACUUUUAAAUUCGAACACACCCCUGAGCCCUGGACGUUCCCCUCUUGCCAUUAUGACAUGUGGGGUGAAGGUGGGAGGAGGCCUCCGUCUGGCAGAGGCCCCUUUAAAAAUGUACCCGGGUUCCUCCUCUGCCAACCAAGUUCUAAAAAUAUUACUCCAGCAAAAGCUGAAAUAUUUGCAGAGAAAACUGAAUUUCCUGCUACCCUCACCCCCUCCACUCAAAUGGGUAAAAUCCUGACCUGAGAAGCCCCCAGAUCAGCUCCACCAAAGGCACAGCCUCCUACUUUCCACCCCCGCCUCACCAUGGAGUCCCUCUGUGGGCUUGAGCUGGGAUGUUAUGUUCAGACAGUACCCACUCCAGGGAGGGGAAGCCACAAGUAUUGGCAAAUAGCUUGCCAUGUGCCUUGGCUUUCCUCUCUGCUUACGAGGACCAACUCUCUCCAAAUCCCCUUCCAUCUGUCCCAAGAAGGAUCUGUAUUGGACCCCAGAAGCUUGCCACUAAUCCAUCUUUUAUCCUCUCUUUUGUCGAAUCAUCUCCUCCUUGGCUGGCCCUGCCUUCUAUCCUGUGCCCUCCAUCUCCGUGCUCCCUGCUGGGUCCACCACACCCACAGGCCCCAGCUCCCUCUCUAACCUGGCCCUCCCUGCCUUCCUCUCCCUUCCAGGCCUGCUGCCAUCCUUCUCCCUCAACUGUGGGGGCCAGCGAAGACAGAGGAGAUGUUUUGAAAUCUGAAGAGUCAAGGAGGAUAACUGCAGCACCGAAGGCCAGCAGGUUAACAGAGUGAGGUAGCCUGCUGCCCAAAGCAGCCUGGCCCAGCAUUCCACGGUGCUUCUGUCCCCUUUCCUUGUUCAUCUAUUCAAGAAUCAGAGGUUCAG